Molecule: non-coding RNA, 255 nt
Organism: Vicia faba (fava bean)
Lineage: Eukaryota; Viridiplantae; Streptophyta; Magnoliopsida; Fabales; Fabaceae
Source: the annotation of a GenBank genome assembly
AUGGCUCGUUUCAAUUCUGCUUUACUCAUCAUCACUAUGCUUUUCUUGACCAUGUAUUCCUUACCAUCUUCUAUAGAUGCUCGAAAGAUUCUCAAAAUGGAGACACAAGAGGUGCCUUCUUCAAAGGGUACCCUACCUUUAACUGAUGUUAUUAAUAAUCUCAACAUUUAUAGAAAUGGAAGAGUCGUUGCUCAUCUUGCCAACAAUGGAAGAGUUCUUGUAUCUUCUGUUCCUAGCCCAGGUGCUGGAAACUAG